CUCCAGACUCCUACGGGAGGCAGCAGUGGGGGAUAUUGCACAAUGGGGGAAACCCUGAUGCAGCGACGCCGCGUGUGGGAAGACGGUCCUCUGGAUUGUAAACCACUGUCCCCAGGGACGAAGAUGACGGUACCUGGGGAGGAAGCUCCGGCUAACUACGUGCCAGCAGCCGCGGUGAUACGUAGGGAGCGAGCGUUGUCCGGAAUUACUGGGUGUAAAGGGAGCGUAGGCGGGGAUGCAAGUUGGGUGUCAAAACUACCGGCUCAACUGGUAGUCGCACUCAAAACUGCAGCUCUUGAGUGAAGUAGAGGCAGGCGGAAUUCCUAGUGUAGCGGUGAAAUGCGUAGAUAUAAGGAAGAACACCAGUGGCGAAGGCGGAUGACUGGACGGCAACUGACGGUGAGGCGCGAAAGCGUGGGGAGCAAACAGGAUUAGAUACCCUGGUAUGC
This 449-nucleotide ribosomal RNA is filed under the name uncultured bacterium. RNAcentral's name for it is "bacterial SSU rRNA". It matches the Rfam family "Bacterial small subunit ribosomal RNA", at positions 329 to 794 of the family's 1533-position model. The record is from RNAcentral.